GAGUUUGAUCCUGGCUCAGAACGAACGCUGGCGGCGUGGAUAAGACAUGCAAGUCGAACGAGAUUUUUUCCUGUAGCAAUACAGGGAAAAGUCUAGUGGCGAACGGGUGCGUAACACGUGGGCAAUCUGCCUUAAAGUGGGGGAUAGCUCGGCGAAAGCCGAAUUAAUACCGCAUGUGAUCAGGGGAGACAUCUUCCCGAAAUCAAAAGUGGCGCAAGCUACUGCUUUUUGAGGAGCCCGCGGCCUAUCAGCUAGUUGGUGAGGUAACGGCUCACCAAGGCUUUGACGGGUAGCUGGUCUGAGAGGACGACCAGUCACACUGGAACUGAGACACGGUCCAGACACCUACGGGUGGCAGCAGUCGAGAAUUUUUCUCAAUGGGGGAAACCCUGAAGGAGCGACGCCGCGUGGAGGAUGAAGGUCUUCGGGUUGUAAACUCCUGUCAUUUGGGAACAAGUGCCGGUACGUAACUGCUAUCGGCUUGAUAGUACCAGAAGAGGAAGGGACGGCUAACUCUGUGCCAGCAGCCGCGGUAAUACAGAGGUCUCAAGCGUUGUUCGGAUUCAUUGGGCGUAAAGGGUGUGUAGGUGGCGCCGUAAGUCGGGUGUGAAAUUUCGGAGCUUAACUCCGAAACUGCAUUCGAUACUGCGGUGCUUGAGGACUGGAGAGGAGACUGGAAUUCAUGGUGUAGCAGUGAAAUGCGUAGAGAUCAUGAGGAAGACCAGUGGCGAAGGCGGGCCUCUGGACAGUUCCUGACACUGAGACACGAAGGCCAGGGGAGCAAACGGGAUUAGAUACCCCGGUAGUCCUGGCAGUAAACGGUGCACGUUUGGUGUGGGAGGAUUCGACCCCUUCUGCGCCGGAGCUAACGCGUUAAACGUGCCGCCUGGGGAGUACGGUCGCAAGAUUAAAACUCAAAGAAAUUGACGGGGGCCCGCACAAGCGGUGGAGUAUGUGGCUUAAUUCGAUGCAACGCGAAGAACCUUACCUGGCCUUGACAUCCCGGUCGCGGGAUCCAGAGACGGAUCCUUUCAGUUCGGCUGGACCGGUGACAGGUGCUGCAUGGCUGUCGUCAGCUCGUGCCGUGAGGUGUUGGGUUAAGUCCCGCAACGAGCGCAACCCCUGCACGUAGUUGCCACUCCGCAAGGAGGGAACUCUACGUGGACUGCUCCGGAUAACGGAGAGGAAGGUGGGGGUGACGUCAAGUCCGCAUGGUCUUUAUGUCCAGGGCUACACACGUGUUACAAUGCAGGGUACAAACCGUUGCCAACCCGCGAGGGGGAGCUAAUCGGAAAAAACUCUGCUCAGUUCGGAUUGCAGUCUGCAACUCGACUGCAUGAAGCCGGAAUCGCUAGUAAUGGCGUAUCAAUGACCCGAUCGG
RNAcentral lists this ribosomal RNA (1381 nucleotides) under uncultured bacterium. RNAcentral describes it as "partial 16S ribosomal RNA". It matches the Rfam family "Bacterial small subunit ribosomal RNA", at positions 9 to 1366 of the family's 1533-position model. The record is from RNAcentral.